RNAcentral lists this ribosomal RNA (306 nucleotides) under uncultured Polynucleobacter sp. RNAcentral's name for it is "bacterial SSU rRNA". It matches the Rfam family "Bacterial small subunit ribosomal RNA", at positions 30 to 334 of the family's 1533-position model. The record is from RNAcentral. Lineage: Bacteria; Pseudomonadati; Pseudomonadota; Betaproteobacteria; Burkholderiales; Burkholderiaceae.
AUUAAACGCUGGCGGCAUGCCUUACACAUGCAAGUCGAACGGCAGCACGGGUGCUUGCACCUGGUGGCGAGUGGCGAACGGGUGAGUAAUAUAUCGGAACGUACCUUAUCGUGGGGGAUAACGCAGCGAAAGCUGUGCUAAUACCGCAUAAGCCCUAAGGGGGAAAGCAGGGGACCGUAAGGCCUUGCGCGAUUAGAGCGGCCGAUACCUGAUUAGCUAGUUGGUGAGGUAAAGGCUCACCAAGGCAACGAUCAGUAGCUGGUCUGAGAGGACGAUCAGCCACACUGGGACUGAGACACGGCCCAG